RNAcentral lists this ribosomal RNA (740 nucleotides) under uncultured Planctomycetota bacterium. RNAcentral describes it as "bacterial SSU rRNA". It matches the Rfam family "Bacterial small subunit ribosomal RNA", at positions 77 to 835 of the family's 1533-position model. The record is from RNAcentral. Lineage: Bacteria; Pseudomonadati; Planctomycetota.
CCUUCGGGUGGGAGUAGAGCGGCGAACGGGCGAGUAACGCGUUCCUAACGUGCCCCAAGGUCGGGGAUAGCUGGGGGAAACCCCAGGUAAUACCCGAUGACCCCGCGAGACCGCAUGGCCUUGCGGGUAAAGGCUUGUCCGCCUUGGGAUCGGGGAACGUCCUAUCAGGUUGUUGGUGGGGUAACGGCCUACCAAGCCAAAGACGGGUAGCGGGUGUGAGAGCAUGACCCGCCGCAUCGGGACUGAGACACUGCCCGGACUCCUACGGGAGGCUGCAGCGACGAAUCUUCCGCAAUGCGCGAAAGCGUGACGGAGCAAUGCCGCGUGCGGGAUGAAGGCCUUCGGGUUGUAAACCGCUGUCAGGGGUUAGGAAUUUUGACCAGCCCCAGAGGAAGGACCGGCUAACUUCGUGCCAGCAGCCGCGGUAACACGAAGGGUCCGAGCGUUGCGCGGAAUCACUGGGCUUAAAGCGUGCGUAGGCGGGGGCGUAAGUGUCUUGUGAAAUCCCACUGCUCAACAGUGGAACUGCAGGGCAUACUGCGUUUCUUGAGGCCGGCAGAGGGUGUCGGAACUGUAGGUGUAGCGGUGAAAUGCGUAGAUAUCUACAGGAACGCCAAUGGUGAAGACAGACACCUGGGCCGGACCUGACGCUGAGGCACGAAAGCGUGGGUAGCGAACAGGAUUAGAUACCCUGGUAGUCCACGCCGUAAACGAUGCGCACUAGGUCUCGGAGGUUUUGA